GUGGGGAAUAUUGGACAAUGGGCGAAAGCCUGAUCCAGCCAUGCCGCGUGUGUGAAGAAGGUCUUCGGAUUGUAAAGCACUUUAAGUUGGGAGGAAGGGCAGUAAGUUAAUACCUUGCUGUUUUGACGUUACCGACAGAAUAAGCACCGGCUAACUUCGUGCCAGCAGCCGCGGUAAUACGAAGGGUGCAAGCGUUAAUCGGAAUUACUGGGCGUAAAGCGCGCGUAGGUGGUUUUGUAAGUUGGAGGUGAAAUCCCCGGGCUCAACCUGGGAACUGCCUCCAAAACUACUGGGCUAGAGUACGGUAGAGGGUAGUGGAAUUUCCUGUGUAGCGGUGAAAUGCGUAGAUAUAGGAAGGAACACCAGUGGCGAAGGCGACUACCUGGACUGAUACUGACACUGAGGUGCGAAAGCGUGGGGAGCAAACAGGAUUAGAAACCCUAGUAGUCC
This 450-nucleotide ribosomal RNA is filed under the name uncultured bacterium. RNAcentral describes it as "bacterial SSU rRNA". It matches the Rfam family "Bacterial small subunit ribosomal RNA", at positions 354 to 796 of the family's 1533-position model. The record is from RNAcentral.